This 483-nucleotide ribosomal RNA is filed under the name Blastocystis sp. RNAcentral describes it as "SSU rRNA". It matches the Rfam family "Eukaryotic small subunit ribosomal RNA", at positions 460 to 953 of the family's 1831-position model. The record is from RNAcentral. Lineage: Eukaryota; Bigyra; Opalinata; Blastocystidae.
GGAGGUAGUGACAAUAAAUCACAAUGCGGAACAAUGUUUUGCAAUUGGAUUGAGAACAACGUACAAACCUUAUCGAUAAACAAUUGGAGGGCAAGUCUGGUGCCAGCAGCCGCGGUAAUUCCAGCUCCAAUAGCGUAUAUUAACGUUGUUGCAGUUAAAAAGCUCGUAGUUGAAAUGAAGAGUGUGUUGUUGUGGUAAUACAUUCGUGUAUUGUCAACAUCAACCAUUCUCCUUCUAAAUAAUGUAUAUGAGUAUUAAUUUACUUGUAUAUGUAUUUAGACAUUUACUGUGAGAAAAUUAGAGUGUUCAAAGCAGGCAUUUGCUUGAAUAUAUUAGCAUGGAAUAAUCAUGUAUGAUUUUCAUGAUGUAUUUGAUUGGUUUGGUUCAUGAGAAUAAGAUUAAAGGGGACAGUUGGGGGUAUUCAUAUUCAAUAGUCAGAGGUGAAAUUCUCGGAUUUAUGGAAGAUGAACAAGUGCGAAAGCA